RNAcentral lists this long non-coding RNA (505 nucleotides) under Malus domestica (apple). RNAcentral's name for it is "long non-coding RNA (MDOM_LNC002357)". The record is from RNAcentral. Lineage: Eukaryota; Viridiplantae; Streptophyta; Magnoliopsida; Rosales; Rosaceae.
UAAUAUUAUAUUGUAUAAAAUAGAAAAUAGUGAUGUGAUUGUUGCAGUCAUAUUAGAUUAAGAAUGUGAUUGUGUAAAUUCUAGUAGAUAUGAGAAUAUAUCUUAUAUUCCUAUUAGGAGUAGAUUAACUAUUAAAUGUUGUAAUCCUAAAGAUAUCUCUACUACUAUAAAUAAAUGCACAAUAGGGUGGAAUAAUACAUACCUCACAAGUAUACAUCUCUUUUCUCUCUAUAUGCUGCACCCUCUCUCUCCAUAUGGCCUCCAUAAUUGUUCAGUAAAUUAUGCCUACAACACGUUAUCAGCACACUUUUAACGCUGCGCUAAAGAGAGUUUAUUCUUCAAUUAGGGGAGUAUUACGUUUUAAUCAUUCUUUUUAUGAUUAAUUUAUUAUUUUAUUGAAUUGAUCUACAUGCUAUUAAUUCAAUUUAAUUUUUAUGUGUUGAAUGUGAUACAAUGUAUUGGAGAUGCAAUUCCGGCUUUCCAAAAAGGAUCUUCUACAAAUUCA